This 453-nucleotide ribosomal RNA is filed under the name uncultured bacterium. Its description in RNAcentral is "bacterial SSU rRNA". It matches the Rfam family "Bacterial small subunit ribosomal RNA", at positions 9 to 508 of the family's 1533-position model. The record is from RNAcentral.
GGGUUUGAUUCUGGCUCAGAACGAACGCUGGCGGCAGGCCUAACACAUGCAAGUCGAGCGCUCUCUUCGGAGGGAGCGGCGGACGGGUGAGUAACGCGUGGGAACGUGCCCUUCUCUAUGGAAUAGCCACUGGAAACGGUGAGUAAUACCAUAUACGCCCUUCGGGGGAAAGAUUUAUCGGAGAAGGAUCGGCCCGCGUUAGAUUAGGUAGUUGGUGGGGUAAUGGCCUACCAAGCCUACGAUCUAUAGCUGGUUUUAGAGGAUGAUCAGCCACACUGGGACUGAGACACGGCCCAGACUCCUACGGGAGGCAGCAGUGGGGAAUCUUAGACAAUGGGCGCAAGCCUGAUCUAGCCAUGCCGCGUGAGUGAUGAAGGCCUUAGGGUCGUAAAGCUCUUUCGCCAGAGAUGAUAAUGACAGUAUCUGGUAAAGAAACCCCGGCUAACUCCGUGC